This 24-nucleotide non-coding RNA is filed under the name Arabidopsis thaliana (thale cress). Lineage: Eukaryota; Viridiplantae; Streptophyta; Magnoliopsida; Brassicales; Brassicaceae. RNAcentral also lists the same sequence under 1 other name. The record is from RNAcentral.
UUGUCUGGUUAAUUCCGUUAACGA